Molecule: ribosomal RNA, 426 nt
Filed under: uncultured bacterium
Lineage: Bacteria
Description: bacterial SSU rRNA
Rfam family: Bacterial small subunit ribosomal RNA
Source: RNAcentral
GAAUUGUUCGCAAUGGGCGCAAGCCUGACGACGCAACGCCGCGUGGAGGAUGAAGAAUUUCGGUUCGUAAACUCCUUUCGACCAAGAUGAACACCCCGUGACCCAACACGUCAUGGGGCUGCCAGUAUUGAGAGAAGAAGCCCCGGCUAACUCUGUGCCAGCAGCCGCGGUAAUACAGGGGGGGCAAGCGUUGUUCGGAAUUACUGGGCGUAAAGGGUUCGUAGGUGGCCAUUUAAGUCAGACGUGAAAUCCCUCAGCUCAACUGGGGAAUUGCGUCUGAAACUGGAUGGCUUGAGUGCAGGAGAGGAAUGCGGAAUUCCAGGUGUAGCGGUGAAAUGCGUAGAUAUCUGGAGGAACACCGGUGGCGAAGGCGGCAUUCUGGACUGUAACUGACACUGAGGAACGAAAGCCAGGGGAGCAAACGGG